AGUGGCGGACGGGUGAGUAACGCGUGGGUAACCUGCCCUGUACAGGGGGACAACAGUUAGAAAUGACUGCUAAUACCGCAUAAGCGCACAGGACCGCAUGGUCCGGUGUGAAAAACUCCGGUGGUACAGGAUGGACCCGCGUCUGAUUAGGUAGUUGGCGGGGUAACGGCCCACCAAGCCGACGAUCAGUAGCCGACCUGAGAGGGUGAUCGGCCACAUUGGGACUGAGACACGGCCCAAACUCCUACGGAAGGCAGCAG
RNAcentral lists this ribosomal RNA (260 nucleotides) under uncultured bacterium. RNAcentral's name for it is "partial 16S ribosomal RNA". It matches the Rfam family "Bacterial small subunit ribosomal RNA", at positions 94 to 354 of the family's 1533-position model. The record is from RNAcentral.